CACAGAACCGGUAGUAAAAAAAAAAUUGAAUCCCACCACUGCUUUAUAUCUGUAUUUGUUUCUAACUUGUUGAUCCUCUUUCGUCAUUCAUUUUCUAACCUUUGCAUCUAUUUUCUAGCCAAUUGUACCAUAGGUCCCAUAUUAGGUAAUACUCUGUUUCUCCUUUGUCUUUGUCACUAAAUGAAUUGUUGUAAGUCGAUGACUUGCUGUAUAAGCAGAAGAGUAGCCUUUAGUCCAGCAGGUCAUUUCUGGCUUAAUUUAAAUCAGGCUCCUGCUGUCUACAGCUACCUACAAUGCCCUGAAGCUUGGGAAGGAGAAAGACAAGGCUGUCUUUCUAACCCUCCACCCUGGCUUCUUCUCAUCCUGCGUUCUCAUAUUUCCGAGAGCUUUAUGACGGCGGACAAUGAAAACUCGUCCUGUACCCAACUCUUAUCAAUUACCAUGCGACGGGCAUAAGAGGAAAAAAAGGGGAAUUCUUUCGUUAGACGGGCACCAUAGGAACUCAGCUGCUCGCCCAGGGCCACAGCGGUAGCCCGGAGCAAAACAGGGAAAGGGUGAAAUAUCAGAGAGAGCAAGCUUAUUAUUAAACAAAACGAUAAACCUCUGCUUUUGCACCUUGGCACCGAGCGAAAUCUACCAGCUGGGUUCCCAUAGGCCUGCUACCUUGUCCGCCAGGAUAGCCACAGGCGGUUUCUGUCGCCCCUUGCAAAGAUGUUCUCUAUCGGGAA
This is a non-coding RNA of Notechis scutatus (mainland tiger snake), 728 nucleotides long. Lineage: Eukaryota; Metazoa; Chordata; Lepidosauria; Squamata; Elapidae. The record is from RefSeq and is a predicted model, not a curated record.